Molecule: antisense RNA, 75 nt
Filed under: Kitasatospora setae KM-6054
Lineage: Bacteria; Bacillati; Actinomycetota; Actinomycetes; Kitasatosporales; Streptomycetaceae
Description: ASpks TB sRNA
Rfam family: ASpks TB sRNA
Source: Rfam by way of RNAcentral
CUUCAGCGAACCCAGGCGCAGCGGCCGGUCGGCGGGCCGGUCCUGGCCGUAGGCGGCCAUCAGCGCCUGCGCCUC